This 253-nucleotide ribosomal RNA is filed under the name uncultured bacterium. RNAcentral's name for it is "partial 16S ribosomal RNA". It matches the Rfam family "Bacterial small subunit ribosomal RNA", at positions 524 to 776 of the family's 1533-position model. The record is from RNAcentral.
UACGGAGGGUGCAAGCGUUAUCCGGAUUCACUGGGUUUAAAGGGUGCGUAGGUGGUUUUGUAAGUCAGUGGUGAAAGCCCGGAGCUUAACUCCGGAACUGCCAUUGAUACUGCUUAACUCGAAUCAAGUAGAGGUGGAUGGAAUAUUACAUGUAGCGGUGAAAUGCUUAGAUAUGUAAUAGAACACCGAUUGCGAAGGCAGUUCACUAUGCUUGUAUUGACACUGAGGCACGAAAGCGUGGGGAUCAAACAGG